This is a long non-coding RNA of Phyllostomus discolor (pale spear-nosed bat), 409 nucleotides long. RefSeq lists it as uncharacterized. NCBI's taxonomy places the organism in Eukaryota, Metazoa, Chordata, Mammalia, Chiroptera, Phyllostomidae. The transcript is spliced from 2 exons. The record is from RefSeq and is a predicted model, not a curated record.
CCUGGAAUCCAACCAGUGACCCUUUGAUUCUCAGGCUGGCACUCAACCCAGUGAGCCACAGCAGCCAGGCUAGAAGGCAUUUUUCUUAAGAGUACUUAUAGUGACUUGCCUUUUUUCCAAAUGAAAGGUUGUGCUUAUAAUAACAUUUCAUUUCUUAGUUUUUUCAAUUUAGAGAUGCUUUCCCAUAAAAGAAUAAACUAACUCCACAAUGAUUUACUGUAAUUCAAGUUGUUAGCUUGAAAGAUCCCCCGGGGCCAGUGUUAUAGAGCAUAGGCUUGUCAAGUUCUGAAGUUUGGAAGGAGUGCCUUUGGAAUAGUGUGGGUGUGGUCAGACCCUAGUGGCUGGCCUUAUUAGAUUGAAGGUCUUUUACUUCAUGAACAGGCUACAAAAUGCUACAAAUAGUAUUAAU